RNAcentral lists this long non-coding RNA (694 nucleotides) under Pan troglodytes (chimpanzee). Its description in RNAcentral is "lincRNA". The record is from RNAcentral. Lineage: Eukaryota; Metazoa; Chordata; Mammalia; Primates; Hominidae.
ACAUGUCAGCAGGUCAGGAAGCAAGCAAGCCUGGAAUUUAAGUCCAGGGAAGCAGGGAGAAAGCACUUUGCUAAGGAAUCAGCCCAGAAGACAGUCCAGACAGGAACCUAGGUUAGGGAAGUGCAAUGGGAAGACCACCCCCCACUCUGAUGCCGCCCAGGAAAUGAGUUUGCUGUGGCCUAACAGUUGUUUUCUGAGUAUAUUUUCAUGUCAAAUAGAAAAAGCAGAACCUUUGGAGGAGGUGUGAAGAAAUGAAGAGUGACUAGAGGAAAAUAGAGAGUCAGAAGUUGCAGUAGGAAACACCAAAGAAGAAAACUCUCUGCCUUCACUGAGCUCUGGAAGAGGUGGAAGAGAUGGGAGACUUACAGUUACAUGCUGACCUUUUCAGUCAUUUGGAGGCCUCAUGUUCUAGGCUCUUAACUGAUGGUGAUGAAGCCACCAACAGGUGUGAAAGGUGUCCUCUUAUUUACACACUAUUCCUUUGAAUAGUGUGAUUAAGUUUUCAUUCUUACAGUUCUAUGCUACGACCAAUUUGAUAAAAGAUUCUCAUUUAACCAUGCUGUCUUCAUAUAUGUAAGCUUCCUUGAUAUCUAAAGAGUGUGAGCUCCUGAGCCAAGUCCAGUGGAAAAUUUGCAGUCUCUUCUAGGAUUAGAUGAAGACCCAAGAAUUCAUCUUGCUACAGUGGGACAAGACU